RNAcentral lists this ribosomal RNA (117 nucleotides) under Oncorhynchus mykiss (rainbow trout). Lineage: Eukaryota; Metazoa; Chordata; Actinopteri; Salmoniformes; Salmonidae. The record is from RNAcentral.
GUUUACGGCCACACCGGCCUGAGUACGCCUGAUCUCGUCCGAUCUCGGAAGCUAAGCAGGGUCGGGCCUGGUUAGUACUUGAAUGGGAGACCGCCUGGGAUACCAGGGCAAUAAGCU